RNAcentral lists this ribosomal RNA (578 nucleotides) under uncultured bacterium. RNAcentral's name for it is "bacterial SSU rRNA". It matches the Rfam family "Bacterial small subunit ribosomal RNA", at positions 924 to 1501 of the family's 1533-position model. The record is from RNAcentral.
CACAAGCGGCGGAGCAUGCGGAUUAAUUCGAUGCAACGCGAAGAACCUUACCUGGGUUUGACAUAUAUCGGAAACGUUCAGAGAUGGGCGCCCCGUAAGGUCGGUAUACAGGUGGUGCAUGGCUGUCGUCAGCUCGUGUCGUGAGAUGUUGGGUUAAGUCCCGCAACGAGCGCAACCCUCGUCCAAUGUUGCCAGCGGGUUAUGCCGGGGACUCAUUGGAGACCGCCGGGGUCAACUCGGAGGAAGGUGGGGAUGACGUCAAGUCAUCAUGCCCCUUAUGUCCAGGGCUUCACGCAUGCUACAAUGGCCGGUACAAAGAGUUGCGAGCCUGUGAGGGUGAGCGAAUCUCAAAAAGCCGGUCUCAGUUCGGAUUGGGGUCUGCAACUCGACCCCAUGAAGUCGGAGUCGCUAGUAAUCGCAGAUCAGCAACGCUGCGGUGAAUACGUUCCCGGGGCUUGUACACACCGCCCGUCAAGUCAUGAAAGUCGGUAACACCCGAAGCCGGUGGCCUAACCCGUUUGGGGGGGAGCUGUCGAAGGUGGGACUGGUAAUUAGGACUAAGUCGUAACAAGGUAACC